This 1185-nucleotide ribosomal RNA is filed under the name Salmonella enterica subsp. enterica serovar Typhimurium. RNAcentral describes it as "partial 23S ribosomal RNA". It matches the Rfam family "Bacterial large subunit ribosomal RNA", at positions 454 to 1556 of the family's 2925-position model. The record is from RNAcentral. Lineage: Bacteria; Pseudomonadati; Pseudomonadota; Gammaproteobacteria; Enterobacterales; Enterobacteriaceae.
CAUCCUCCAAGGCUAAAUACUCCUGACUGACCGAUAGUGAACCAGUACCGUGAGGGAAAGGCGAAAAGAACCCCGGCGAGGGGAGUGAAAAAGAACCUGAAACCGUGUACGUACAAGCAGUGGGAGCACCCUUCGGGGUGUGACUGCGUACCUUUUGUAUAAUGGGUCAGCGACUUAUAUUCUGUAGCAAGGUUAACCGUAUAGGGGAGCCGGAGGGAAACCGAGUCUUAAUUGGGCGUUAAGUUGCAGGGUAUAGACCCGAAACCCGGUGAUCUAGCCAUGGGCAGGUUGAAGGUUGGGUAACACUAACUGGAGGACCGAACCGACUAAUGUUGAAAAAUUAGCGGAUGACCUGUGGCUGGGGGUGAAAGGCCAAUCAAACCGGGAGAUAGCUGGUUCUCCCCGAAAGCUAUUUAGGUAGCGCCUCGUGAAUUCAUCUCCGGGGGUAGAGCACUGUUUCGGCUAGGGGGCCAUCCCGGCUUACCAACCCGAUGCAAACUGCGAAUACCGGAGAAUGUUAUCACGGGAGACACACGGCGGGUGCUAACGUCCGUCGUGAAGAGGGAAACAACCCAGACCGCCAGCUAAGGUCCCAAAGUCAUGGUUAAGUGGGAAACGAUGUGGGAAGGCCCAGACAGCCAGGAUGUUGGCUUAGAAGCAGCCAUCAUUUAAAGAAAGCGUAAUAGCUCACUGGUCGAGUCGGCCUGCGCGGAAGAUGUAACGGGGCUAAACCAUGCACCGAAGCUGCGGCAGCGAACGUAUCACCCAAGACAACUUUACGGAGUUGACGAUUGACGGAGCGAAGCGACGUCAAAGCGUUCAUUAAAGUCGAGUUGGCUUAGGGAUACGUUCGUUGGGUAGGGGAGCGUUCUGUAAGCCUGUGAAGGUGUGUCGUGAGGCAUGCUGGAGGUAUCAGAAGUGCGAAUGCUGACAUAAGUAACGAUAAAGCGGGUGAAAAGCCCGCUCGCCGGAAGACCAAGGGUUCCUGUCCAACGUUAAUCGGGGCAGGGUGAGUCGACCCCUAAGGCGAGGCCGAAAGGCGUAGUCGAUGGGAAACGGGUUAAUAUUCCCGUACUUGGUGUUACUGCGAAGGGGGGACGGAGAAGGCUAUGUUGGCCGGGCGACGGUUGUCCCGGUUUAAGCGUGUAGGUGUGUGUUCCAGGUAAAUCCGGUUCACUUUAACAC